CAAGAUCGCGGAACAACACAGCACCGGAGAAAGGUGACCCUUCCAGCGAGCAGCCAGAGCAGCAACGAAGGCCAUCCAAGCGAGAUCGUGGGUCAGCCAUCUCGCGUCGCCGCGAAAACACGACAGUCGUUCGUCAUGCCUUGGAUAUAACAACAAAUCCUCCACGCACCCAGUCAACUGCCAGAAGUGACUCAAACACAGGCCACCAGUGGCACUCGGCUGUACCACUGCAGUGCUGCGGAAAUUGCCAGCACCAGUGGCUUUGCAACAGCUGUUUCACAGCAUGUCGGAGACAAUGCCUACGAAAUUAUUGGCCCUGAUGACGAGAGCCCUCAAGGGGCAAAUGACAUCUCUGUUGCAGAAGUGAGCCCGAUACCACCUGAAGUUACCAUGACAGAUGACAUGGCAGCAAUAGAUACAGAGACUGCCAUGUUUACUGCAGCUACAACAGUGUACGAGGCAAGCAGCAGCGCGUCAGCAUCAGCAGCAGUGUCAGAAUGAACCCUACCAGGCCUGGUAGAGCAACAUGUGUGCUAUCACUGUGACUUUUUUUGUAGUGCAUACAACUCAUUUGCUCAACAUACAAAAGCUUUUCACCACGACUGUGAGCCAGUGUUCUUGUGCAGCUGGGAACAUGUUGUUCCGAGCUGUCCGAAAAAAUUGCUACAUCAUCCAGAUAUGUCAAGGCAAACUCCUGCAAGUCUUUUAGGACAAUAUCCAUUAACUUAGAGAAGCUAAACGGGGCGUUCUUCAGCCUGAAGCUGAGUGCGAGAGGGCGAAAAGUGCCUACAGGUGAGAUGAAUGUGGCAUAGCAGCUGGCACUUUCUGAAAGGGGAACUUUCCAGUACCCCUGCACGAGAUCUAUAGUUGAAAUGUAUUUAGCAGUGCUAACUUUUUCAGUUCGUUCCUCAAUGUUGGGUAUCGGGUACAGCUGAUCCCUAGUGAUGGCAUUUAACUUCCUGUAGUCAACACAUGGACGAAAGUCCUUGUUAGGGGUUUCUACCAGUAUUAGCGGUGACGUGUAGUCACUCUCAGCGGGCUCAAUAACUCAACUCUAACAUGCGCUGUAUUUCUGCCUCCAUAAUUUCUCUCUGUCUUGGAGACACCCUGUAAGGCUUUGAUCUUACUGGUUCGGUUGAUGUCAGCUCUAUUUCAUGCGUUAUUAGUUCGGUUCUACCUGGCCAAUCGCUGAACCUGUCGAUAUAUUCCCCUAACACCCCUUUUAGCUCAUCUAGCUGCUCUGGUCUUAGAGAGUGCGAGCUUACCGAAUGUUUUACUACUCCUUCUAGGCCGAUUUCAGAGUUGGAGGUCGCCCUAUACUCCUUAAUCUUGGUGCUAGUGCCAUCCUGCUCUUUGAUGGUAUAGUUAACGACUCCGCUCCGCUCUAUAUACAGCUUCAUCAAAUUGCAGUGAUAUAUCCUCACCUCCUUCCUGCGACCGGGCAUUUUCAGAGCAUAGUUAGUAUCUGUGCAACACUUUAACGGGCCCGUCCCAGUGAACUCCAAGCUUGUUCUUUCUUGAAGGUUUGAGGAUGAUUACCUGGUCUCCGGCGUUAAACAAACGAAGCCUCGCGUUCUUGUUGUAAUAGAAUUUGGCAUUCUUUUGAGUUACUCCCAUGUUCUUUUCGACUAGUUCUUGGGUUGCGCUUAGCCGUUCCAGCAGAUUUAGCACCUAUUCAACCACUGUCGGACUCUCCCCUUUUGCCUCCCACAUCUCUCAACAUUCUCAGUGGAGAACGGAGUGUCCUCCGAUACACUAGUUCUCCUGGUGAGAACCCUGUCGCUUCAUGUGGAACCGUUCGCAAAGCAAACAAAGUUGCCGGCAGGCAGUUCUCCCAGUCCUUGUGCUCGUAACAGAGCGCACGCAAAACUUGCUUAAGCACUGAAUGCCACCUCUCUACACUGUCUGACUGAGGGUGAUAGACAGAACUGUGUAUUAACUUUACCCCACACUUUUUCAAGAUUGUGGAAGUCAGUGCGCUCAUGAAUACUGACCCUUGAUCUGCCUGAAUUUCGGCUGGAAACCCAACUCGUGCAAACGCUGUCAAAAGCGCGUCUACUACUUCGGUGGAGCUGAGCUCUUUCAGAGGGAUUGCUUCUGGAAACUUUGUAGCCGGACACAGCAUGGUAAAUAAGUACCUGUAGCCCGAUUUUGUUUUUGGAAGAGGCCCUACCGUGUCUAUUACAAGUCGUCUGAAAGGUUCUGUUAUUAAGGGCACUACCUUUAGUGGAGAUUUCCAUGUCUCGCCUGGUUUGCCAGAGCGCUGGCAGGCGUCGCCUGAUCUUACAAAGUUUUCUGUGUCUUUGAAACAGCCAGGCCAGUAGUAUUCCAUAAGCAAUCUUUCCUUUGAUUUGUUUAUACCUAGGUGGCCGGACCACCCAUUUCCAUGACAGACUCAAAAGGUCCUCCCUAUACUUAGUAGGUACGACUAACUGAUCUAAAAUCCUACCCUUUCGAUCUCUGUAGUGUCGAUACAAUCUUCCUCUCAUGUAUCGUCUUGUUGCGCCUAGCAAUGCCUUCUUUGGCUGUGUGAUGUAAAUUAGCUAAGCUCUCAUCAUUCUUUCGCUCGGCUGCCAAUGACUCUCUAUCCACACGUAAGAGCUUAUCAAAGUUCUUUGAGGCCGGUGAUAAUAACGACCCUGUCUCGCUUGUGAGUGCAUCAGAUUGUUUUUCCUGCAGGCUUGAGCUUGGACACUGUAGUGAUACACUCUCGAUGAGCUGGUCAGCUGGCAGGCUCUCCUCGACUGAUUUUUCAUCCCUCGAGCCUAGCUCGAAUUCGGGUAUGGAAGUUAUCCCCUUUUCUGCUUCCGCUGGAGCAGCUUAUGCAUUUUCAGCUGAAAGCGACGCUAUUUUACGGGCUUGGCCUCGCGUCAAUGCCUGUACUAUGCCCUCUCCCAGUUUAAGCCCUUUGUCACGCAGUAACUGAUUCGAAAAAAUGUAAGGGUACUGCAGUGACAAAAAAUUGGAAACUGCAGCCUCAGUCUCUAGCUCCCCGAAUGGUCCACUGAUUUUGACUUUGGCCAUGGGCAGACACACGCUGUGUUCUUCUACAACCUGUUUGAUCCAUGCUACUUCUCCGGUGAAGUCAUCUACCGUCAUGUAAGACGGACGGACAAUGUCCAUCGUGGCGGCACCGUCUCUUAGCACUCGGCAUGGUUUGCCAUUAACUUGCAGGUGUUGAAGAAUAGGGCUUAAAAGUGCUAUAUUGUCGUAUUUUUCCUCUAAGUAGGAAAAAACUACGCUAGGCGUCCCGCAGUUUACAAUUAUAUGUCCCAGUUUGUGGCAUUUAUAACAGCGGAUCGGCCUUAAAGAUUCAAAUUUUCUUUUCUGUUCUUUUUGUGCGGUUUCUCCGUUAAGUUUCUCCUCGCUCUUUUCUGCGGGCUUUUCCUCCAUGUCUACAGGCUCCGAUCGUCUAGUCUGCAAACCCCUUUUGAACGGAAAUGGUUUCUGCAGUCCAUUUCGACCGUCCGAGUUUCCGUCCUCGGUGUUCAACUUUCUACGGGUUGCGUACUCUUCGGCUAAUUCAGCCGCCCUUUCCACAGUGUUUACAUUCCGUCUGUCUUGCACCCAGUUUCACAGCUUGGGGGAUGGUUUUGUAAAACUGCUCUAGACACAUGCAUUCAAUGAUCAUGUCUCUGCUGUCGUACGCUUCCGCGCUUUUCAGCCACUUGACUAGGUUGGCCUUUAAGCUAUAUGCAAACUCCGGAUAUCCCUCGCUAUCUUUCUUGCCUGUGCUCCUAAACCUUUGCGGAAAUGCUUCGGCUGAAAGGCGGUAUUUCUUCAGGAGACUAGCCUUAACUUCUGCAUAAUCAAAUGCAUCCUGUGCACCGAGUCUGGCGAUUACCUCUGCAGCCUCACACAACAUAGACAGCAACCGCUGUGGCCAUGUACUCGGACCGAAGUUCAUCUUCUCGCAAGUCCUUUCAAAAUUGCUUAGGAACAAGUCUAUGUCGGUCCCGACCUCAAAUGGCUUUAAUAGCUUGUCCAUGCAGUACGAUUCUGCCUCACUUUAUCGUCCCAGAGCCCCUUCACUUCCUUGAGACAACUCCAAACGUUUGCUUUCAAAUUCAAGUUGCAUUUUUCUUAACUCGCGAUCUUUAUCGUGUUCCUCUCUCUUGUUCUUUUCUCUCCUUUUUUUUCAGAAGUUCAAACCCCAUUUCAAUUUCUU
Dermacentor albipictus is the source of this 4168-nucleotide long non-coding RNA. RefSeq lists it as uncharacterized. The record is from RefSeq and is a predicted model, not a curated record. NCBI's taxonomy places the organism in Eukaryota, Metazoa, Arthropoda, Arachnida, Ixodida, Ixodidae.